Sander lucioperca (pikeperch) is the source of this 158-nucleotide long non-coding RNA. RefSeq lists it as uncharacterized. The record is from RefSeq and is a predicted model, not a curated record. The transcript has 3 exons. Lineage: Eukaryota; Metazoa; Chordata; Actinopteri; Perciformes; Percidae.
AGUAUUGUAUUUUCUUUUCAGUCAGUCUGACAUUUAUUUCAUUUGUAAAGAAUAACAUAACAUGGAUUAUCUGCGUUUUCUGCCGUCGCUCUGUUUCACUGGAAACGGAUAUGAAGUAGUCGCCGUCGGCGACAACGUAGAAACAGAAAAUACUCAGG